RNAcentral lists this transfer RNA (75 nucleotides) under Rugosimonospora africana. RNAcentral describes it as "tRNA-Leu". It matches the Rfam family "tRNA". From Rfam's summary of the family: Transfer RNA (tRNA) molecules are approximately 80 nucleotides in length. Their secondary structure includes four short double-helical elements and three loops (D, anti-codon, and T loops). The record is from RNAcentral. Lineage: Bacteria; Bacillati; Actinomycetota; Actinomycetes; Micromonosporales; Micromonosporaceae.
GCCCCGGUAGCCCAACGGUAGAGGCGACGCGCUCAAACCGCGUUCGGUGCGGGUUCGAGUCCCGCCCGGGGUACC